RNAcentral lists this ribosomal RNA (468 nucleotides) under uncultured bacterium. RNAcentral describes it as "partial 16S ribosomal RNA". It matches the Rfam family "Bacterial small subunit ribosomal RNA", at positions 28 to 507 of the family's 1533-position model. The record is from RNAcentral.
GACGAACGCUGGCGGCGUGCCUAACACAUGCAAGUCGAACGGCAAGGCCCUGCUUUUUUGGGGUUCUCGAGUGGCGAACGGGUGAGUAACACGUGAGUAACCUGCCCUUGACUUUGGUAUAACUUCAGGAAACUGGGGCUACUCCCGUAUAGGAGCUCCUGCUGCAUGGUGGGCGUUGGAACGUUUCGGCGGUUGGGGAUGGAUUCGCGGCUUACCAGUUUGUUGGUUGGGUAGUUGCUUACCAAGGCUUUGAAGGGUAGCCGGCAUGAGAGGGUGAACGGCGACAAUGGGACUGAGAGACGGCCCAGACUGCAACGGGAGGCAGCAGGGGGGAGUAUUACACAAUGGGCGGGAGCGUGAGGAGGAAGCGCCGGGUGCGGAAUGACGGCCUUCGGGUUGUGAACCGCUUUAGCCUGAGACGAAGCGUGAGUGACGGUAAUGGGUAAAGAAGCACCGGCUAACUACGUG